GACGAACGCUGGCGGCGUGCUUAACACAUGCAAGUCGAGCGGAAAGGCCCUUCGGUGUACUCGAGCUGCGAACGGGUGAGUAACACGUGAGUAACCUUCCCCAGACUUUGGGUUAACCAUCGGUUACGGGGGCUAAUACCGGAUACGACACAGCUUCGCAUGGGCUUUGUGUGGAAUGUAUUUGGGUUUGGGAUGGGCUCGCGGCCUAUCAGCUUCUUGGUGGGGUGAUGGCCUACCAAGGCGACGACGGUUAGCCGGCCCGGGAGGGCGACGGGCAACACUGGGACUGAGAAACGGCCCAGAUUCCAAGGGGAGGAAGCGGGGGGGAAAAUUGAACAAGGGGCGAAAGCUGGAGGAGGCAAGGCCGGGUGAGGAAGAACGGCCUUCGGGUUGAAAACCCCUUUCAGCGGGGACGAGGCGGAAGUGAGGUUACCGGCAGAGGAAGCGCGGGCAAAUUAGGG
Molecule: ribosomal RNA, 461 nt
Filed under: uncultured bacterium
Lineage: Bacteria
Description: partial 16S ribosomal RNA
Rfam family: Bacterial small subunit ribosomal RNA
Source: RNAcentral